This 218-nucleotide long non-coding RNA is filed under the name Anas platyrhynchos platyrhynchos (common mallard). RNAcentral describes it as "lncRNA (ENSAPLG00000026759.1)". The record is from RNAcentral. Lineage: Eukaryota; Metazoa; Chordata; Aves; Anseriformes; Anatidae.
AGUACUGAAACACAACAGUGACAUUCACAUCAAAGGAUUUCUGUAUGAACAAAGAGAACAGCAGGCCAGUUAUAUUCCUGACACUGCCAGCAAGUCUUGAACACAUGAAAACUUAAAGGCCUCCACUCCUGUGAGUCCACUCUGAGCUAAAUGAUUGUAUUUUUCCAAAGUUGUGGUUUUGUUUGGUCACAUCAGGCCUUAACCCUGCUGAGAACUCU